This 288-nucleotide long non-coding RNA is filed under the name Elaeis guineensis (African oil palm). RNAcentral's name for it is "long non-coding RNA (EGUI_LNC000176)". Lineage: Eukaryota; Viridiplantae; Streptophyta; Magnoliopsida; Arecales; Arecaceae. The record is from RNAcentral.
CACCGUACAGCCACCAGACGUUGUCAGCUCUGACACGGACAUACGGCGCAGUUACCUAGGAGCAUUGUCCCGCCGAGAGCCGGGUCAACCCUGGUGAUUGGACGGCCGCACGGCGACAUGACGUUUUCACGGCGGCUCUGACAGCCCACAGUGAGUUGACAGUUCCUCACUUGUCCGCGCCAUUAAUGACGGCGCCAUACCUAGCUCCACUAUAUAUAUCGGGGAAGGCAACAGUGCAAAGGAUCGAUCCGCCCGUCUCUCCUACAUACGCAGGCUCGCUCCUCUCCC